AGCGAACGCUGGCGGCAGGCCUAACACAUGCAAGUCGAACGCACCUUCGGGUGAGUGGCGGACGGGUGAGUAAUACGUGGGAACGUACCUUUUGGUUCGGAAUAACGCAGGGAAACUUGUGCUAAUACCGAAUGUGCCCUUCGGGGGAAAGAUUUAUCGCCAUUAGAGCGGCCCGCGUUAGAUUAGCUAGUUGGUGAGGU
This 200-nucleotide ribosomal RNA is filed under the name uncultured bacterium. Its description in RNAcentral is "partial 16S ribosomal RNA". It matches the Rfam family "Bacterial small subunit ribosomal RNA", at positions 29 to 258 of the family's 1533-position model. The record is from RNAcentral.